GGCCCAGAUCGUUUACCGUGAAAAAAUUAGAGUGUUCAAAGCAGGCAGAUCCAAUUCUCUGCCACCGAAUACAUUAGCAUGGGAUAAUGGAAUAGGACCCCUGUCCUCCUAUUUUCAGUUGGUUUUGACACGCGAGGACCAGGGUAAUGAUUAAUAGGGAUAGUUGGGGGCAUUAAUAUUUAAUUGUCAGAGGUGAAAUUCUUGGAUUUAUGAAAGAUUAACUUCUGCGAAAGCAUCUGCCAAGGAUGUUUUCAUUAAUCAAGAACGAAAGUUAGGGGAUCGAAGACGAUCAGAUACCGUCGUAGUCUUAACCAUAAACGAUGCCGACCAGCGAUUAGGAGACGUUGAAUACAAAACACCACCAUCGGUGCGGUCGUCCUUGGCAUUUGUCGUGGCGCAAGUCACGGCAGGUGUGAGGAUGGUUUAGCCUGAUGGAUUUCGGUGAAUGACUCCCCUAGCAGCUUGUGAGA
RNAcentral lists this ribosomal RNA (470 nucleotides) under Acanthamoeba sp. RNAcentral describes it as "SSU rRNA". It matches the Rfam family "Eukaryotic small subunit ribosomal RNA", at positions 740 to 1095 of the family's 1831-position model. Lineage: Eukaryota; Discosea; Longamoebia; Acanthamoebidae. The record is from RNAcentral.